AGUGAACGCUGGCGGUAGGCCUAACACAUGCAAGUCGAACGGCAGCACAGUAAGAGCUUGCUCUUACGGGUGGCGAGUGGCGGACGGGUGAGGAAUACAUCGGAAUCUACUUUUUCGUGGGGGAUAACGUAGGGAAACUUACGCUAAUACCGCAUACGACCUACGGGUGAAAGCAGGGGAUCUUCGGACCUUGCGCGAUUGAAUGAGCCGAUGUCGGAUUAGCUAGUUGGCGGGGUAAAGGCCCACCAAGGCGACGAUCCGUAGCUGGUCUGAGAGGAUGAUCAGCCACACUGGAACUGAGACACGGUCCAGACUCCUACGGGAGGCAGCAGUGGGGAAUACUGGACAAUGGGCGCAAGCCUGAUCCAGCCAUACCGCGUGGGUGAAGAAGGCCUUCGGGUUGUAAAGCCCUUUUGUUGGGAAAGAAAAGCAGCAGGUUAAUACCCCGCUGUUCUGACGGUACCCAAAGAAUAUGCACCGGCUAACUUCGUG
RNAcentral lists this ribosomal RNA (492 nucleotides) under uncultured bacterium. RNAcentral's name for it is "partial 16S ribosomal RNA". It matches the Rfam family "Bacterial small subunit ribosomal RNA", at positions 29 to 507 of the family's 1533-position model. The record is from RNAcentral.